UACGGAGGGUGCAAACGUUGCUCGGAAUCAUUGGGCGUAAAGCGCACGUAGGCGGUCUGACAAGUCGGGUGUGAAAUCCCUCGGCUUAACCGAGGAAGUACAUUCGAAACUAUUGGACUUGAAUACUGAAGAGGGUCUCGGAAUUCCCGGUGUAGAGGUGAAAUUCGUAGAUAUUCGCAAGAACACCAGUGGCGAAGGCGGCUACCUGGACAAUUGCUGACGCUCAGGCACGAAAGCGUGGGGAGCAAAAGGG
This 253-nucleotide ribosomal RNA is filed under the name uncultured prokaryote. RNAcentral describes it as "partial 16S ribosomal RNA". It matches the Rfam family "Bacterial small subunit ribosomal RNA", at positions 524 to 776 of the family's 1533-position model. The record is from RNAcentral.